Non-coding RNA from Cyanistes caeruleus (blue tit), 2457 nucleotides. The record is from RefSeq and is a predicted model, not a curated record. NCBI's taxonomy places the organism in Eukaryota, Metazoa, Chordata, Aves, Passeriformes, Paridae.
GUGCGUGGACGUUUCCCCUCAGGCGAGACAUGGCUUCUGAGGAAUCUAGGUACCUGCUGGUUCACGCCGCUUCCGACUCAUACCCGAGGGUUUGCCUUUGUCUGGGGUCCAGCUCCAUGGUUGCUGAUACCUGAAGUCUCCUUACUUAAAGAGAGAGGCAUAGUGAACCCUGCUUGUGUGUUAACGAACUGGGUUAUGGUCUUCUUAGGAACCCAUCGAAUUUCAGGAUGUUAUAGUAAGCACCAUUAAUUACUCUUUAUUUCUUCAGUUCCUGUGUUUUUUUUAACCUGGUGUACUGACUGUAAUGGCCACAUGAAAAUAUUAAUUGUAUUGGGGCCAGUAUCUUUUUCUAAGAUGUAAAAUAAAACCCAAUUUUAUAAAUAAAUAAAUAUAAUUUCCUUGCUGCACUCUACCUUUUCCUUAUGGUGUACGUUACAGUGAAGAAGUGCACAAUGCAGCCUGGGUAAUGUUAGUUUCAGACUGCAGUGCUUGAUGUUUGUGUGGCUGUUUUUUCUGGGAUGCCUGACCCCAGAAUUAAGUCUUAAUCCCAAAUGGAGAUGAAUUUUUGGCUUUCAUGGAUUUAAGGUUUUUUUCCUAUUGUCAGGUGGCUAGGAAUACAUUUAAAUCACAAGAAAGGUUGUAGCUCUUACAAGAGAAUAUCUUUGAUACUUCAGAAAAGAUGAUUGGUUUUUCAAAAGGAAUUGCAAGGUCUUGGAGACAGUAAGAAUACACUUUACCAGAAAGGGAGAAAAACUGUUUUGUAGUGUUAGUUUACAGAGUAAAGAUCUCCAACUGAAGCAGGUCUCUGAAAGUCUAAAAGAUGCCUGGAAAUGCAAACCAAUGCUAGAUUAUGGCUUUUGUCAAAAAUGGGUAAAGCUUAAGACACAAACAGCAAUCUCAUAGUUAUGAUACAGCACUUCAGAAAAUUCAAAUGGAAAAAGCAGUCCUCUGUGCUACAUCUACAUCCUGUCUUUUUGAUUUCUUGUCUUUUUACUUUCCAAAUUUCAAUGUCAUUAGUCCUGUGUGUGUGAAAGAAACGGUUGGGUCAAAUUUAUAGUUUAUUACAGAUGAAGGAAUAACUCAUGUUUCCUCUUCACAAAUGUGAUAAAUAGCACUUAAAACAGUUUCAGAUGUGAUAGGACUGUUUCUGCUUGCAUGUUAUAUCUAAAAUACAAACCAUACGUGCUAUCAUAUGACAUAAAAAAUAAUGGUAAUACACCAGCAUUUAAUCUGAUUACCAUCACCAGUGAUUAAGUCUUUGAUCACAAAUGUAGCAACAGUCUUAACAAUAUGCCGUUAUUAAAUUACAAAGCAGUCUGCUACCAUUCAAAGACAAUUAAACUGACAUUCCAGAUUGGUAACACUCCGCAUAAAUCUUUAAAUAACAUUUUCCAUUCAACCAGGUAAAUACAUAAUAGAGCUAUAAAUAAAUUUGCAGAAAAUUAUCUCCAUUUUCUCUUCAAGCCACGUGCUAGUACCACAAUUUCCACCAGCAAAUAGGAGUCAGUUACAGUCAGCAACAAAGUGAAGCAGCUAAGCAGUAUACAGGCUGGUGAAGUUGCUGUGCUCAACUAAGACAAGUAAAAAUACUUUCUAACCUGCAUGCAAGUACAGCUGUUCACUGCAUAAUCUCUUGAGCCAUCCCAUAUUGUUAAUAUUAGGUUCCCAGGGUAUAAUUUAGUCCUUCACAAAACCAGAUUAAGCCUGAGAAAACAGUGCUUUAACAGAAUAAGCAAGCACUGUGCAUAUGAACCAUGAUAUUGAAUUGUUAACGAGAACAGUGUGAUACUCAUUGCCAUACACAGAAGGCAACAGAAAUUAUUCUGCAAUACCUUAUCACUUGCUGAUGGGAUUUUUCCUUCCCCUGCCUUUUGUGAUCCCAUUACUUUAAGUUCAUUUAUAUAUAACUCAGGAUUUUUAAUCCCUGAAAAUUUAUGGUAGAAAUUACAAAUAUAUAUACCUAUAUAUGUAUAUAUAUUGAAAACCAAAUCCAUAUGAAAAGGGCUAUAUAUUUCAAAUGCAGACUUAAGUUAACGGCUCUGGAAAAGCCACUACAUCUGCAAGUACAAGUUACAGACCCACAUUUUUAUGAAAACAUUUGAGCUAGCCAUUACUGGUUAAAUAUACAUAGUAUGGCAGAAAAUAUAUGUCAGGAGUAGCAACCUUAACCAUAUGUAAUUAGUUAGGCAAUAAUGUUACUCAAUCCCUGCCCUCUUAAGCACUGUUUAAAUAUUAAUUCAGUUGACUGUCACAGUACUAAAAAAAUCCAAUUGGAAUCUAUCAAUUACAAGUACUUGCACAUUUACAGAAAUAAUCACAUGAAGGCAGAGAACAAACCUGUUAUUCAUUCCAGGUGUGUACCUGUGUGUAUGUUAUGCAUUGAAAAACAAAAGCAAACAAAAAUAAACAGAACCCCCAGCCAACCAAAUCCCUCCUCCAAAACCUGAAAAAAAAAAA